UAAUUAAUAAUUUAAUGAAUAAAUGAAUUCAUUAACGUUUUGCUUCUAGGCAAGAACAAAAAAGAAAACAAUGUAGAAAUUGUGUACAGUAUUUGAACACCAACAAAUCAGAAAGCUAUAGCUAUUUAAUGGAAUUAACGAUUGUGUGAAAUUGGUUCAAGUUACAUCAACUUUCCCUUAAUAAGCCUACUUUAAAAACAAAAUCUACAGUAUUACUUUUUCUCAGUAAUAUUGAUAGCAAAUAAAUCCUACGUGUACAUGAAACAACUUUUCUUGGUGUUAAAAUAGAUUUUGAAUUUUCAUGGACGUCUAAUAAUUAUGGUAUUUGUAACAUAAUGAAUAUAAUACUAAUUGAGUUCAUAUAACAUACUAGCUAUUUCUAGGGUUAAGUUAUUAUUUCCCUGUAUUUUGAAAUUAUUAUAUGGUAUUUAUUUUCUUACUAAGGUUUCCCAGUGGUAAUUGCCUUGGUUUCUGUACUAAUUGUUGUUCAUAUCUAUAUCGAUGAGACUAAGUGGCGUUUUACAUAUAAACAAUACUGUAUAUGGAGUUGGAAGCACGAAGACGACUUUACAAUAACAAACUAAUGUGGCGUUUUACAUAUAAACAAUACUGUAUAUGGAGUUAGAAGCACGAAGACGAAUUUACAUUAACAAACUAAUUGAGGACACACAUCCACAAAUAUCAGGAAAGGAUGCCCGAACUCGAUCAUGAAAUUGAAACGGAAUUUAUCAAUUAUUUAUAGAUAGUUAAAUGUUAUCACUCAUCAAGGUGCCUGCAAAAAUCCGGGAUAUGAAAUUAAUUAACAUACUGUGUGAAUUUUAUUGUUUUUAAAUUUUCCUCUGCAAAAAAUCUCAAAUAUAAUGUUAGCAAUAUUUAUUAAUUUGUAUAAGCUUUAUAUGAUUAUUAGUCCUAUACAUUAUUGUAUUAUUACUAGUAAUAUUUAUCUAAAUAAUAGAGAAAAUAACCAGUACUAUUGUUUUAAACAAUAUAGACAUAUGUAAGAUAAUAAGAUAUACAAUUUUGAGGAUUAAAACCAGACAUAGGCUUAUUGAUUUUUGCCGAAUGUACAUGUAAUAUAUAUUUUUCAAAAUAUAUAAGAAUAUCCCAACUUGCGUUUCAAUGCUUGGAAAUAAAGAUCAA
Long non-coding RNA from Anneissia japonica, 1140 nucleotides. RefSeq lists it as uncharacterized. The transcript is spliced from 4 exons. The record is from RefSeq and is a predicted model, not a curated record. Lineage: Eukaryota; Metazoa; Echinodermata; Crinoidea; Comatulida; Comatulidae.